Molecule: ribosomal RNA, 200 nt
Filed under: uncultured Glomus
Lineage: Eukaryota; Fungi; Glomeromycota; Glomeromycetes; Glomerales; Glomeraceae
Description: partial small subunit ribosomal RNA
Rfam family: Eukaryotic small subunit ribosomal RNA
Source: RNAcentral
CCAAUAGCGUAUAUUAAAGUUGUUGCAGUUAAAAAGCUCGUAGUUGAAUUUCGGGAUUGACACAUCGGUCGUGCUCUAAGGGGUAUGAACUGGUGUAGUCAGUUUCUCACCUUCUGGAGAACCGCGAUGUCCUUAAUUGGGUGCCGCGAGGAACCAGGACCUUUACUUUGAAAAAAUUAGAGUGUUUAAAGCAGGCAUUU